UCUAUAUCCGAAAAGCGUAGAAGCCCCGUGUGUCUGUCACUCACUCAUGCUGGGGCGGACAAUGCCGCAGGGAAAGCUACUGGCCGCAUUGGCCACCUCGUGCUCGGCCAGGUGCUUGGUGAAAGUGUACUCACUUCUUUUCGAGUGCCUUUAGCGCCUCGUCGUUGAGGGUUUCGGCCAGCUGUAUGAUCUUCUCGGGAUCGUCGGGCGAAGGAUAGAGCUUCUCCUCGACCUCUGUCAGAUAGGCGUUCACAUAAGCGCUGGACACAUGGACCAGCGAAUCCAGUUGCUUCAGCUGUUGGCACAGCUCCACCACGCGUCGUGUUCCCUGCAGAUUGAUGUUGGUCGUCUCCUUGAGGGACUGAAAGAAGUCCAGGGUGGCCGCCGAAUGGAACACCACAUUUACAUUAUCGAUCAGCGUCUGGCGGUCCUUUGGCGAGAUUCCCAGGUUGUCCAAGCCCACAUCACCCUCAAUGGGGACGAUCUUCGUGAGACGCGACUCCAGCUGCAUCUCCUUGAAGCGAUCAAAGACAGAGUUUUUCUUGAGCUCCUCGAGCCUCUCCUCCACGCUCUUUCCCUUCUUGGCGCGCAUCAGCAGAUACAGGUUGCCCACCUUGGGCACAUCGCGCAGCAGCUUCUCCACAAUGGUGACGCCCACGAAGCCAGUGGCGCCCGUGAUGAACACAUUGCGCCCCGCAUAGAAGUCUGUGAUGGAAGAGCUGAAACAUUGUAGGAAUACAUGCCAUAAAAUGAAAAUGAACUCUCAUCAAACUUUCUCUCAUCUCCCAUUCAAAUGGCAGUGGCUGCUGGCGUUGCGUCGUGGCAAACUUACGAAACCCCAAGCGACUUUGUGGACAUCUCCGACUGGAUUCCAAGGCAAAACCUGUUUCCCGCCAGGUGCCGGGUGUCGGUUUUCGGGUCACUGCCAAUACUCGUACUGUUCAAAUCCAAUUUGUGGGCGUCCCAGUUGACUCUAGCCUAAUGGUGCAUUGCCUAUUGUAUUCGGCUGCACUCAAACCUGUCAUUUGAUUAAAUAACAUGUCAAGGAAUGCAUUUAGAAACUGAAGAAUUAAAGGCAUAAUUCAGUCAUGAGAUCUUUGGAACUUUAUUCCAUACAGAUUUAUUUGUAAUGCUUAAAUUAAUUGCUUAAAGGCUGUUGCCGUCGACAGACAGACAUAACUGAUCGACCAUAGCCUUUUCCUGUAAGCUACACUGAAAUAUUCGGCAUCCCAGCGUAUUGCCAAACCUUUUCCCCGUCAAACAACGAAAGGCACACGCAACUUGAUCAUUCAAUUAGCCAACUCCAAGCGCAUUUUUUCUUUUAAUGAUCUGCAGUCCGCGCCAUCUCAAAUUUUUUGUUAUGCCAAAUGAUUUUAUAAUGAUGAUCAUUGAAGGGGAUCGAAUCUCUGUUUUUCCCCUCAACAAAUGCGUGAUAUAAUUUCUACAUAACAAAUCCCAUAUAAAACUCGAAGAAAUGCAACAUUCCCUAUAUGUAUGUACAUAAAUUGUAGUAUUUAUAUACAAAAAUAAUGCAAAUUUCCGCAUGCAGUCACAGGCGAGGCCCUGAAGGUCUUUGCAGGUCCAUAAAAAAGGCGUCAAGUCAUGGUUAAUGAUUGCAUGUUGCCCCCUGGCGGCCUCUUGUCAGAGAUUGCUGUCUAAACUAAAUUGAGCUUUCACUUUGGAGCAGCUACUACCCGAAACAGAAGGGAAACGAAGCAGGCGGGUGACCCGAUCCAAAGACAGGCAGAAAUGUGUUGCCUUGUCUUUUUCUGUCUUUGAUCCCAUUCAGUGCUGUGGUAAAUUGGGUUGCUUAUCUGGCUGAUACCAUGCACUGUCCGUUACGCUGAUUAGAUAUACCAUCUGGUCAGUGGCGCGGCUUAUCUUGGCAAUUAAGGAACCCUCGACUCAAUCAUCGUCUGUUUGCCUGUCUGCCUGGAUAACUGACCCUACCAACUGUGGCCAACCUUGCGGUGGCCAAUAAAUCUCUGGCUUACCUUACUCUUGCGAUUAUUAAUGAACGUUCGAAAAGACUACAUAUGACAACCUGUAAUUUUCCGCUGGAUUUUCUGACGACUGCAAAACGGAACCAUUUACGUCAUCUCUGGCUUGCUGCACCAGAGAACUACAGAUCUGUGGAUACACUUCCCUUCCCCACUCACUUCCCAAGGAAAAAGGCAAGGCGUCAACAGGUCAAAGUUUGAGUAGAGACUGAAGAAUGCAAUCGCUCUCUCUGUAAACACUCCCUCUCUCAGAGAACACAGUCGACUCUUAUGUGAUGGAGAAGAAAGUGUCGAGAGAUGCUAAUGCAAUGGAAUAACGAGAAGUUGUUGUACAUUUGCGUUGCGGCUGCUCUUUUAGAAACAAUAUUCCAAGAAAUGCAUUCGAGUGGAUGUCAAAGAUCGUGCACAAAUAGAUUUAAAUGCAUGUUUCUUGGCAGAUCUGCCGCAUUUCGAACUUUGCACCGAAUAUCUAACCUCAAUAGCAGCUUUCGAGCGGAGAAAAGAGAAAAAUUUGGCCGAAAGUUGUCAAACGGGCUACCAAAAAAACACACACACACACGCCGCUGACAGUUCGGGUCCACGAUCGGGUCUUGCAUUGUUUAAGACACAUUGAGUAACACUACUUACCUGGCCAUAAUUUCUGCAGGUGUACGAAAUGGGUAUAGAUAUCUAUCUAUCUAUCUUUCGGCUGCUGUUGCCUAUCGCUGGGUUUAGAG
This is a long non-coding RNA of Drosophila pseudoobscura, 2716 nucleotides long. RefSeq lists it as uncharacterized. The transcript has 6 exons. NCBI's taxonomy places the organism in Eukaryota, Metazoa, Arthropoda, Insecta, Diptera, Drosophilidae. The record is from RefSeq and is a predicted model, not a curated record.